AGAGUUUGAUCAUGGCUCAGAUUGAACGCUGGCGGCGUGCCUAACACAUGCAAGUCGAGCGGUAACAGGUGUAGCAAUACAUGCUGACGAGCGGCGAACGGGUGAGUAAUGCUUCGGAAUCUACCUUAUGGUGGGGAAUAACUAGCCGAAAGGUUAGCUAAUACCGCAUACGUCCUACGGGAGAAAGCAGGGGAUCGUAAGACCUUGCGCCAAAAGAUGAGCCGAAGUCGGAUUAGCUAGUUGGUAGGGUAACGGCCUACCAAGGCGACGAUCCGUAGCUGGUCUGAGAGGACGACCAGCCACACUGGGACUGAGACACGGCCCAGACUCCUACGGGAGGCAGCAGUGGGGAAUAUUGGACAAUGGGGGAAACCCUGAUCCAGCGACGCCGCGUGUGUGAAGAAGGCCUGCGGGUUGUAAAGCACUUUUAGUGGGGAUGAAAUGUGCAGGGUUAAUACCUCUGCAUUUUGACCUAACCCACAGAAAAAGCACCGGCUAACUCUGUGCCAGCAGCCGCGGUAAUACAGAGGGUGCAAGCGUUAAUCGGAAUUACUGGGCGUAAAGCGUGCGUAGACGGUUACAUAAGUCGGGUGUGAAAGCCCCGGGCUCAACCUGGGAAUUGCAUUCGAGACUGCGUAGCUAGGGUGCGGAAGAGGGAAGCGGAAUUUCCGGUGUAGCGGUGAAAUGCGUAGAUAUCGGAAGGAACACCAGUGGCGAAAGCGGCUUCCUGGUCCAGCACCGACGUUCAGGCACGAAAGCGUGGGGAGCAAACAGGAUUAGAUACCCUAGUAGUCC
This 795-nucleotide ribosomal RNA is filed under the name uncultured bacterium. RNAcentral's name for it is "bacterial SSU rRNA". It matches the Rfam family "Bacterial small subunit ribosomal RNA", at positions 8 to 796 of the family's 1533-position model. The record is from RNAcentral.